RNAcentral lists this ribosomal RNA (257 nucleotides) under uncultured bacterium. Its description in RNAcentral is "partial 16S ribosomal RNA". It matches the Rfam family "Bacterial small subunit ribosomal RNA", at positions 524 to 777 of the family's 1533-position model. The record is from RNAcentral.
UACGUAGGUGGCUAGCGUUGCUCGGAAUCACUGGGCGUAAAGGGUGCGUAGGCGGGUCUUUUAAGUCAGGGGUGAAAUCCUGGAGCUCAACUCCAGAACUGCCUUUGAUACUGAGGAUCUUGAGUUCGGGAGAGGUGAGUGGAACUGCGAGUGUAGAGGUGAAAUUCGUAGAUAUUCGCAAGAACACCAGUGGCGAAGGCGGCUCACUGGCCCCGAUACUGACGCUGAGGCACGAAAGCGUGGGGAGGCAAACAGGG